CCCUUAGAUGUUCUGGGCUGCACGCGCGCUACACUGACGCACACAACGAGUCUCCUAGCUCGAGAGGGCUGGGUAAUCAUUUGAGAGUGCGUCGUGAUGGGGAUAGAAUAUUGUAAUUAUUACUCUUCAACGAGGAAUUCCUAGUAAGCGCGAGUCAGCAGCUCGCGUUGAUUACGUCCCUGCCCUUUGUACACACCGCCCGUCGCUACUACCGAUUGAACGUUUUAGUGAGGUAUUUGGACUGGACCUUCGGAGGUUCGCGCCUCCGUUGCUGUUCGGGAAGACUCCCAAACUUGAGCGUUUAGAGGAAGUAAAAGUCGUAACA
This 325-nucleotide ribosomal RNA is filed under the name uncultured eukaryote. RNAcentral describes it as "partial 18S ribosomal RNA". It matches the Rfam family "Eukaryotic small subunit ribosomal RNA", at positions 1470 to 1796 of the family's 1831-position model. The record is from RNAcentral.